AAAUAUUGGACAAAAGGUGAUGUUGAUGGACCAAUUCGGGAAAAUGACAUUAUUAUAAAUUAAGUGAAAUUGAUGGAUACAAACAAUUUAUGAUUGUAAUUUGAAUAACAGUUUGUUACUUGCUGGCUGGACCAACAAUUGGAAAGUAUCACUGGGUAAAAGAAAGAUUGCUGUCAAGUCCAGUUUUGGUCAAUCACAUCAACUUGGUCUUAACUCGCUCAUUGGUAACGGGUGUAACUGGAAUCACAAUUUUGGACUCUUAAUGAUUAUCCGACAUAUUUUUGAUUAACCUUGAUUGCACGGUUAACCAACUGUUAAUCACUUUCACCAAAAAAUCAUCCAGAAUCACCUAAACCACAAAGCCCCACUAAUUGACCUGGAAUAUCAUUUAACGCUGGUUUACAUGCAAAAACGAGUUAAUUGUUCAUUCUAAAUUGAUUUCCUCGCCUUAAUCCGGUUUAAAAAGCAAUAUUAAUGAAAUUGUUAAACAUCAAGAAUUUAAUCAACAACAGAUUAACAAAUUACAACCUUGAAAACAAGAAAAGACUUCAAAUUGUAUCAAAAUAAUAGCAAAUAAUGUACUAAAUUAGAUUUACAAUUUUCUAAUUCCUGUUCUUUCAGAAUCACAAUUCAGCCGAUGUUUGACUCCAAUGUUGUACCCAAAGCCAUCUCGAGCUGGAUUUAUAACCAAAGGAUAGUUGAGUUGAUCAAUUCAAUAGCAAUUUGUUGUUGGGUUUCAAUCUUACCUUAAAUUUAUCAUUCGAUUGAUGCAGAAAUGACUCGGAUUACCUGUCUAAUUAACUAAAUGGACAAUUAUUUUACAAA
Molecule: non-coding RNA, 825 nt
Organism: Tetranychus urticae (two-spotted spider mite)
Lineage: Eukaryota; Metazoa; Arthropoda; Arachnida; Trombidiformes; Tetranychidae
Source: RefSeq, a predicted model, not a curated record